GAUGAACGCUGGCGGCGUGCUUAACACAUGCAAGUCGAACGGAAAGGCCCAAGCUUGCUUGGGUACUCGAGUGGCGAACGGGUGAGUAACACGUGGGUGAUCUGCCCUGCACUUCGGGAUAAGCCUGGGAAACUGGGUCUAAUACCGGAUAGGACCACAUUUUGGAUGGUGUGGUGGAAAGUUUUUCGGUGUGGGAUGAGCUCGCGGCCUAUCAGCUUGUUGGUGGGGUAAUGGCCUACCAAGGCGUCGACGGGUAGCCGGCCUGAGAGGGUGUACGGCCACAUUGGGACUGGGAUACGGCCCAGACUCCUACGGGAGGCAGCAGGGGGGAAUAUUGCACAAUGGGCGCAAGCCUGAUGCAGCGACGCCGCGUGGGGGAUGACGGCCUUCGGGUUGUAAACUCCUUUCGCUAGGGACGAAGCGUUUUUGUGACGGUACCUGGAGAAGAAGCACCGGCUAACUACGUG
RNAcentral lists this ribosomal RNA (467 nucleotides) under uncultured bacterium. Its description in RNAcentral is "partial 16S ribosomal RNA". It matches the Rfam family "Bacterial small subunit ribosomal RNA", at positions 28 to 507 of the family's 1533-position model. The record is from RNAcentral.